AUGUUGUACCCGGACGUCACGCUGCCACACCACUGGCACCUCGAUUCACAGCAGAUCCCGGUGCCGGCGGUGCCGCGCUCACAGCGGCCGCAUGAUGAGGAGGUGCGCAGGAAAUGGAAGCAGCUCACGCCGGCGCAGUGGCGCAAGCCCGAGUACACCGUAGACUCUCCCAAUUGGGAGGCCUGGUUUGCCCUCGAACACGAGGAGCAAUGGCGGCUCGGCGCCCACAUCAACCACGACCUUCCAUCGCCUCCCCUAUGGGUACAGCCGGAGGAAGAGGAGGCGGAGGCAGAGUACCAAGACGCCCUCGAGGAGGCACGUGGUGGGGGACUCCGUCCAGGCGCCCCUGUUUGUGCCGCCACCGCCGCCGGCGCCGCCCCUCGUCGAGCCCAAGGACGAGCCGGAGCCGGAGCGUGA
RNAcentral lists this ribosomal RNA (417 nucleotides) under Triticum aestivum (bread wheat). RNAcentral's name for it is "partial small subunit ribosomal RNA". The record is from RNAcentral. Lineage: Eukaryota; Viridiplantae; Streptophyta; Magnoliopsida; Poales; Poaceae.